AGGGAUCAUUACAGAGAGUUGACCCUGACUCCCUAUACCCAUUGUGAACAUUACCCCGCGUUGCCUCGGCAGGCGGGGGCGGGGGGGUUGGCGCGGCCUAGGCCAGACCUCCUCCCCCCCCCCCUCUCUCCCUGCCGGCGGCCCUAUGAACCUCUGGUAUUAUUAAAUUCUUCUUCUGAGUGGGAUAACGUAAAUAUGUUAAAACUUUCAACAACGGAUCUCUUGGUUCUGGCAUCGAUGAAGAACGCAGCGAAAUGCGAUAAGUAAUGUGAAUUGCAGAAUUCAGUGAAUCAUCGAAUCUUUGAACGCACAUUGCGCCCGCUAGUAUUCUGGCGGGCAUGCCUGUUCGAGCGUCAUUUCAACCCCUUAAGCCUUUGUUGCUUAGCGUUGGGGGCACACGGCGAGAUCCGCCGCGGCCCCUCGAAGUCAGUGGCGGGGCCGGACAACGCACCCCAGACGUAGUAGACUUCAAUCAUCUCGUCUGCGGGCCGUGCCGGUCCCCUGCCGUAAAAUUACAGAAGAGACAAGGCCACUUGKCCAAAAGGUUGACCUCGGAUCAGGUAGGAAUACCCGCUGAACUUAA
Molecule: ribosomal RNA, 583 nt
Filed under: Dematophora bunodes
Lineage: Eukaryota; Fungi; Ascomycota; Sordariomycetes; Xylariales; Xylariaceae
Description: partial ribosomal RNA
Rfam family: 5.8S ribosomal RNA (bases 203-356)
Source: RNAcentral